Molecule: long non-coding RNA, 217 nt
Filed under: Mytilus galloprovincialis (Mediterranean mussel)
Lineage: Eukaryota; Metazoa; Mollusca; Bivalvia; Mytilida; Mytilidae
Source: RNAcentral
UGUGACGUUAUUUAAGUUAUGACGUCAUAUUCAAUGUAAACAAAGAAACGCUGUCAUUAGGUAACGUUUUUUUAAUAACAAACAUUUUUUUUUUAAAUGAAUUAGUAUUAGUUCCCUUCUUAGACUGAUAAAUAUACAUUUUAUUCAAAGUCUCAUGUAAACAAGACCGGAAACGGAAGUAGAUUUCUGCGCCGAUCCGGAAAUUCAAAAACGCGAC